RNAcentral lists this ribosomal RNA (468 nucleotides) under uncultured bacterium. Its description in RNAcentral is "partial 16S ribosomal RNA". It matches the Rfam family "Bacterial small subunit ribosomal RNA", at positions 28 to 507 of the family's 1533-position model. The record is from RNAcentral.
GACGAACGCUGGCGGCGUGCUUAACACAUGCAAGUCGAACGGAAAGGCCCUGCUUUUGUGGGGUGCUCGAGUGGCGAACGGGUGAGUAACACGUGAGUAACCUGCCCUUGACUUUGGGAUAACUUCAGGAAACUGGGGCUAAUACCGGAUAGGAGCUCCUGCUGCAUGGUGGGGGUUGGAAAGUUUCGGCGGUUGGGGAUGGACUCGCGGCUUAUCAGCUUGUUGGUGGGGUAGUGGCUUACCAAGGCUUUGACGGGUAGCCGGCCUGAGAGGGUGACCGGGCACGGUGGGAGAGAGGUACGACAGGGGCUGCGUCGUGAUGCAGCAGCGGGGUGUGUUGUACGAUGGCCGGGGGCUUGAUACCGCCACGCCGCGGGCGGGAUGAGGGCGUGCGGGUGGUGGAACGCGAUCGCCCGGGACGCAGCGUGCGUGCCGGUAAGGGGUAAAGCGGCACCGGCUCACUUCGUG